Molecule: ribosomal RNA, 468 nt
Filed under: uncultured bacterium
Lineage: Bacteria
Description: partial 16S ribosomal RNA
Rfam family: Bacterial small subunit ribosomal RNA
Source: RNAcentral
GACGAACGCUGGCGGCGUGCUUAACACAUGCAAGUCGAACGGAAAGGCCCUGCUUUUGUGGGGUGCUCGAGUGGCGAACGGGUGAGUAACACGUGAGUAACCUGCCCUUGACUUUGGGAUAACUUCAGGAAACUGGGGCUAAUACCGGCUAGGAGCUCCUGCUGCAUGGUGGGGGUUGGAAAGUUUCGGCGGUUGGGGAUGGACUCGCGGCUUAUCAGCUUGUUGGUGGGGUAGUGGCUUACCAAGGCUUUGACGGGUAGCCGGCCUGGGAGGGUGACCGGCCACAUUGGGACUGAGGUACGGCCCAGACUCCUACGGGAGGCAGCAGUGGGGAAUAUUGCACAAUGGGCGGAAGCCUGAUGCAGAAACGCCGCGUGCGGGAUGACGGCCUUCGGGUUGUAAACCGCUUUCGCCUGUGACGAAGCGUGAGUGACGGUAAUGGGUAAAGAAGCACCGGCUAACUACGUG